This 70-nucleotide transfer RNA is filed under the name Salmo salar (Atlantic salmon). It matches the Rfam family "tRNA". Rfam says of the family: Transfer RNA (tRNA) molecules are approximately 80 nucleotides in length. Their secondary structure includes four short double-helical elements and three loops (D, anti-codon, and T loops). Lineage: Eukaryota; Metazoa; Chordata; Actinopteri; Salmoniformes; Salmonidae. The record is from Rfam by way of RNAcentral.
GCACUGGUGAUUCAGUGGUAGAAUCCUUGCCUACCAUGCGCGAGACCUGGGUUCAUUUCCAGCCUAUGCA